Nematostella vectensis (starlet sea anemone) is the source of this 1432-nucleotide long non-coding RNA. RefSeq lists it as uncharacterized. Lineage: Eukaryota; Metazoa; Cnidaria; Anthozoa; Actiniaria; Edwardsiidae. The transcript has 2 exons. The record is from RefSeq and is a predicted model, not a curated record.
UCCGAAAAAAAAGGUCCUCUGAAUAGGGGGCUUCGAAUUUUUAGGAGCUGCACUUUUCAGCUUUAAUAUUUUACUGAUAAGAUCAUUUGUAGCACGAAUACAGAUUGAGUAUUAAGCCAAAUGACCAAUGUUUUUAAACAUUAAAAUACUUUGUACAGGAACCCCCUUUACGACCCCUGAUUUUACACAGUUUUACAUGUAAAAUAAAUAAUGAAAUUAUAACGGCCGAGACCGAAAGUUGUGAAGAACAGACGUCAGAUUCUGGAAUAAUGAUGAACUUGAGUGGAUCAUCAACUGGGACAAGGAGGGCAACUUCGCAGUAUAAAUUUUCUAGAUUUAAAGACUUUUUUGUUUAUUGAGGUCGUAAGGAUGGUGGCUCUGAAAAUCCUGGGGUCUUGAAAGGGGGGGGGGCACCGAAAAAAAUCUUAACAAUGAAAGGGGGGCUCUGAAAUUUUAAGGUGUCUUGAGUAAAAACUUUCCUUCCCCCCUCUCGGUGUAUUUCAUUAACACUCCCUUAAACUGUUGCAUCAAAUGUUAUCACUGUAUGAGGUUAGAGUCAGUAGUUAACGUCAGUAGUUAGAGUCAGUAGUUAACGAGUUAACAUUUUGAACAAUCUUUUUAAUGCAAGCGAACAUUGUGUAUCAAUGGUUAUUUAAUGGGUACCCUGUGUAUUAAACACAAAGGCGCGGUAUAAAAGGGUGCUUCCAUUGGAAGCAUCGGCUCAUUUUAGCCUCGUCCCUUUGCUUCUCGGCGGGCCUAUCACGCUCUACAUGGCUAUGACGUCACUGCCCCUUUCUGCUCUCGCCCCCGAAAAAAGUCAACUUGAAGCGUCCGCCAUAUUGGAAAGUGUGAGUCUGCGUGCAAAGCAUCAUGGAGCUGACAGCAAGGGAGUAGCCUGGGGACGAGACUAGGCUCAUUUGUCAAUCAACCGCCGUGGAAGUGAGGAUCAAAUUCAAGAUGGCGGCUCCGAGUCAAGUACAAAACACAGAGGGGAGAGGUUUCAAAGCGCUUCCUGAUGUAUAAAAAUGCCAACUCUACCUUCUAGUCCGAUAGAAUAUGUAAAAAAGGAAUCUCAGUAGAAAUAAAGCUAAGAAACCAACGUGAUUUAUGCAAAAAAGGAGCAAACGCAUGAUCGGAAAACAACGAUUUCAAACAUCGACAAAAUCUAUACCCAAGAAGCAAGUCAUGGUUACAUCUGAAUAAUCAGCAAGAUAUAUUCCUCAAGAAAAAGCAGAUACAUAGACAUAUACAGUAUUACAUUUUCCAUGUGAUUUUUAAUCAUAAACAUUCCUUUAUAAAGGAAACAUGUUUUGUUACUAUCAAGUUAAUUUAUGUGUUAUUGAAGUGUAUAAAGCAACCAGUCAUAUUUUAUAAACUGCAUUAUAGAUUAUACUUUUAAAUAAACCAAAAUGCUUUCUCUUUUGUCCAUUCA